Molecule: ribosomal RNA, 1528 nt
Filed under: metagenome
Description: bacterial LSU rRNA
Rfam family: Bacterial large subunit ribosomal RNA
Source: RNAcentral
AGGCAGAGAUGCGUAACUGAUGGGAAACAGGUCAAUAUUCCUGUACCGAUGUGUAGUGCGAUGUGGGGACGGAUCUUAAUAGGUCAUCCGGGUGUUGGAUAUCCCGGUUUAGGCAGAUGUAGGCGACAGGUAGGCAAAUCCGCCUGUCAUAUACCGAGGCUGCCGAUCGAGCGAGCUUGCUCGCGAAGUGAUUGAACGAGGUUCCAGGAAAAGCCACUAAGCUUCAGCUACACACGACCGUACCGCAAACCGACACUGGUGCGCGAGAUGAGUAUUCUAAGGCGCUUGAGAGAACUCGGGAGAAGGAACUCGGCAAAUUGACACCGUAACUUCGGAAGAAGGUGUGCCCUAUUAGUGUGAAGUGAACAACGGAGCAUGAAUGGGUUGCAAAAAAUCGGUGGCUGCGACUGUUUAUUAAAAACACAGCACUCUGCAAACACGAAAGUGGACGUAUAGGGUGUGACGCCUGCCCGGUGCUGGAAGAUUAAAUGAUGGGGUGCAAGCUCUUGAUUGAAGUCCCAGUAAACGGCGGCCGUAACAAUAACGGUCCUAAGGUAGCGAAAUUCCUUGUCGGGUAAGUUCCGACCUGCACGAAUGGCGUAACGAUGGCCACACUGUCUCCUCCCGAGACUCAGCGAAGUUGAAAUGUUUGUGAUGAUGCAAUCUCCCCGCGGAAAGACGGAAAGACCCCAUGAACCUUUACUGUAGCUUUGUAUUGGACUUUGAACAGAUCUGUGUAGGAUAGGUGGGAGGCUUUGAAGCAGGGUCGCUAGAUCUUGUGGAGCCAACGUUGAAAUACCACCCUGGUGUGUUUGAGGUUCUAACCUAGGUCCAUUAUCUGGAUCGGGGACAGUGCAUGGUAGGCAGUUUGACUGGGGCGGUCUCCUCCCAAAGCGUAACGGAGGAGUUCGAAGGUACGCUAGUUACGGUCGGACAUCGUGACGAUAGUGCAAUGGCAUAAGCGUGCUUAACUGCGAGACUGACAAGUCGAGCAGAUGCGAAAGCAGGACAUAGUGAUCCGGUGGUUCUGUAUGGAAGGGCCAUCGCUCAACGGAUAAAAGGUACUCUGGGGAUAACAGGCUGAUACCGCCCAAGAGUUCAUAUCGACGGCGGUGUUUGGCACCUCGAUGUCGGCUCAUCUCAUCCUGGGGCUGUAGCCGGUCCCAAGGGUAUGGCUGUUCGCCAUUUAAAGAGGUACGUGAGCUGGGUUUAAAACGUCGUGAGACAGUUUGGUCCCUAUCUUCCGUGGGCGCUGCAGAUUUGAGGAAGCCUGCUCCUAGUACGAGAGGACCGGAGUGGACGCACCUCUGGUGUAUCGGUUGUCACGCCAGUGGCAUUGCCGAGUAGCUAUGUGCGGAAGAGAUAACCGCUGAAAGCAUCUAAGCGGGAAACUCGUUCCAAGAUGAGAUCUGCCGGGGCCUUGAGCCCCCUAAAGAGUCGUUCAAGACCAGGACGUUGAUAGGUCGGGUGUGGAAGCGCAGUAAUGCGUUAAGCUAACCGAUACUAAUUGCUCGUGCGGCUUGACCCG